Molecule: long non-coding RNA, 808 nt
Organism: Pseudopodoces humilis (Tibetan ground-tit)
Lineage: Eukaryota; Metazoa; Chordata; Aves; Passeriformes; Paridae
Source: RefSeq, a predicted model, not a curated record
GCUCCCGGUGUCCCUCAGCCCGGCCCGGAGCGCUCCUGAGGAGCCUCCGGGAUGUGCCGGUGUAAAAUCCUGCUAAAAGCGGCGGCUCCGGGAUGUUCCGGGUCUCUCGGUGGGCCAGCCGGAUUUCAGGCGGAUUUAGGCGGCGGGAUGAGCUCCAAGGGAUGUCCCGCUCUUGGAAUGGCAGCGGUGGAAUUGCCUGGUUCGCGUUCGGGGCUGGACAGCGGUCCCAGGCCAAGGGGAGGAUAACGCGAUUUGAGGAUUCCCACCGAUACAGGGAAUACAGAAUUUGCCGGCCCCGAGGACAUUUGGCAGAAGGGCCAAGAUAAGGAAGAAGCCGAUAAAAACAGCUGGCCAGCUGUGCUGGAUCCCUGGGAAAGGAGGGGAUUCCAGGGGGAGCCGGUGGCCAGCAGCGAGCCGAGAAACCCCGAAAGCAGCGGAACACCGGGAAUCGGAUAUUCCAUGGGAAAGAGCCCGGCAUGUUGUCAAGGUGAAAUGAGAUUCUCAGCCUGGAGCUCGCCGCCCAUAAAUCUGGGAGCAGGAUUACCCCAGCGAUGGGAAUUGCAGCGUGGAUAAGAGCAGUGAAUAUUUAUUUUGGUCUGUCAAAUAAUCCUCCUGAUGCAGAAAGAGACAAAAAUUAAUCCAAACCACUCUGAUCUCUGUGCUGUUAAAAAAGAUGGGCAUGAAACAGCCUGAAAUGUCACUGUUUGGAUAAAUUCCAUGUAAAAUUUUUGACACGUGAAUCAACAAUAUUUUAUCUGAAUUCUCAAAAAAGCAAAUUAAUGCAAAAUAAACUAUUAAUAUCUGUUUA